GAUGAAGAACGUAUCGAAAUGCGAUACUUUGUGUGAAUUGCAGAAUCCCGUGAACCAUCGAGUGUUUGAACGCAAGUUGCGCCCGAAGCCAUUAGGCCGAGGGCACGCCUGCCUGGGCGUCACACGUCGUUGCCCCCCCAUCUACUCCUUCGGGAUUGCGGGGGGCGGAUGAUGGCCUCCCGUGCGCCUCGUCGCGCGGUUGGCAUAAAUGCCAAGUCCUCGGCGACGCACGCCACGACAAUCGGUGGUUGCGAAACCUCGGUUGCCCGUCGUGUGCGGUCGUCGCGCAUCGAGGGCUCGAAAAAAUUGCCGGGCUCCGGCUCGGCUUUCAACGCGACCCCAGGUCAGGCGGGGUUACCCGCUGAAUUUAAGCAUAUCAAUAAGCGGAGGA
RNAcentral lists this unclassified non-coding RNA (391 nucleotides) under soil metagenome. RNAcentral's name for it is "partial contains 5.8S ribosomal RNA, internal transcribed spacer 2, and large subunit ribosomal RNA". The stretch from base 1 to 122 matches the Rfam family "5.8S ribosomal RNA", at positions 35 to 154 of the family's 154-position model. The record is from RNAcentral.